UCCCCUAAGUAAUGUGGAUUACCGAUGUGCUGCCCCUUCCCACGAGAGAGGAGAUGUCGAAUUUUUCCAAAACCUCAAACUCAGGCAACAUGGGAAAUAAGUCUGCCUAUCAGGCUUCCCAAGAACGACUGGGGUGUCCUCCUUCCUUCGCCACCAGACUGCCUAUACAUAGCACCAUAUGCCGUACAAGCACUUACUGACCUGAUCUGAAUUCUUCGAGGCUUGUGAUGGGCGAGGGUGAGCUCUGGGCUUUAUUCUGCAUGGUGGCAGGGACAAAGGCAAACCCAUGUGACGCUGGGGGGGCAGCCUAUUCAUCUCAGGGAGGGGAAGGUACCCUUGUCUCAGAGAGCUGCCUGCCUUGUGAGUGGUAAGGUCCCCAGCCCUGAAAGCAUUCAAAAGCAGGGACUAGUCAACAGUUCACAGGAAACAAGCGACUAGGCUGCCCAAGCUGGCAGGGACUUUCAUGUCUACGACUCCAGGACACAAAGGAGCUUAGCCCUUGGCCACAAUGACCCUCAGGGGCAGGACAGGGAAAGGGGGGGGCAGGACUGGGGGAAGGGAAGCUUUACAUGCCCCCAGCUUCGUGACCUCAGUUUUGGAGAAGACGCUUGUUCAGUCAGAGUCACCACUGAAGGCCAA
This 639-nucleotide long non-coding RNA is filed under the name Mustela putorius furo (domestic ferret). RNAcentral's name for it is "lncRNA (ENSMPUG00000031356.1)". Lineage: Eukaryota; Metazoa; Chordata; Mammalia; Carnivora; Mustelidae. The record is from RNAcentral.